This 459-nucleotide ribosomal RNA is filed under the name uncultured Sphingobacteriales bacterium. RNAcentral's name for it is "bacterial SSU rRNA". It matches the Rfam family "Bacterial small subunit ribosomal RNA", at positions 920 to 1382 of the family's 1533-position model. Lineage: Bacteria; Pseudomonadati; Bacteroidota; Sphingobacteriia; Sphingobacteriales. The record is from RNAcentral.
CCCGCACAAGCGGAGGAACAUGUGGUUAAUUCGAUGAUACGCGAGGAACCUUACCUGGGCUUAAAUGUAGAGUGCAUUUUUAGAGAUAGAAAUUCCCUUCGGGGCUUUCUGCAAGGUGCUGCAUGGUUGUCGUCAGCUCGUGCCGUGAGGUGUCGGGUUAAGUCCCAUAACGAGCGCAACCCUUAUCGUUAGUUGCCAUCUGGUAAUGCAGGGGACUCUAGCGAAACUGCCACCGUAAGGUGAGAGGAAGUGGGGAUGACGUCAAAUCAGCACGGCCCUUAUGUCCAGGGCUACACACGUGUUACAAUGGUCGGUACAGAGGGCAGCUACCUGGUGACAGGAUGCUAAUCUCGAAAACCGGUCUCAGUUCGGAUCGAAGUCUGCAACUCGACUUCGUGAAGCUGGAUUCGCUAGUAAUCGCGCAUCAGCUAUGGCGCGGUGAAUACGUUCCCGGGCCUU